AGCUAAACGGGAUGGCAGCGAUAUCCUUUUUCAGCUACUUCGUUCGCUAAAGCAGCACAAGUCCGAAAAAGAUUUAGCGAACAGCCCGACGAAAC
Molecule: small RNA, 95 nt
Filed under: Pedobacter sp. Leaf194
Lineage: Bacteria; Pseudomonadati; Bacteroidota; Sphingobacteriia; Sphingobacteriales; Sphingobacteriaceae
Description: Flavo-1 RNA
Rfam family: Flavo-1 RNA
Source: Rfam by way of RNAcentral